RNAcentral lists this long non-coding RNA (310 nucleotides) under Pan troglodytes (chimpanzee). RNAcentral describes it as "long non-coding RNA NONPTRT000598". Lineage: Eukaryota; Metazoa; Chordata; Mammalia; Primates; Hominidae. The record is from RNAcentral.
GAUCUCACCUUCCUCUGACUUUCCAUAGCACUUCUUAUCUCGCUUUCAUCUGUCACUUGGUCAGAUUUUGUUUGCUUUUAAUAUUUUUGCCUAAUCUCUUCAACUAGAGACAAUAACCAUUUAUUAACUUUUUAAUAACCCUCACUGCUAGCACAAUGCCUGGCACAUGACAUGUAUUCAAAAUAUAUUUGCAGAUAUACCCAAGUUUGUUUGGAUUUUCUUCUCUAUUUCGGCUCUUUUAAGGUUCCAUAUGAUUUUUAAAAUUAGUUUUUUUCUGGUUCUGUGAAGAAUCUCAAUGGUAGAUUCCUAG